RNAcentral lists this transfer RNA (74 nucleotides) under Planobispora rosea. RNAcentral describes it as "tRNA-Leu". It matches the Rfam family "tRNA". Rfam says of the family: Transfer RNA (tRNA) molecules are approximately 80 nucleotides in length. Their secondary structure includes four short double-helical elements and three loops (D, anti-codon, and T loops). The record is from RNAcentral. Lineage: Bacteria; Bacillati; Actinomycetota; Actinomycetes; Streptosporangiales; Streptosporangiaceae.
GGGGUUGUAGCCCAGCGGCAGAGGCGACGUCUUUAGGUGGCGUAAAGCGCGGGUUCGAGUCCCGCCAACCCCAC